RNAcentral lists this ribosomal RNA (375 nucleotides) under uncultured eukaryote. Its description in RNAcentral is "partial 18S ribosomal RNA". It matches the Rfam family "Eukaryotic small subunit ribosomal RNA", at positions 592 to 976 of the family's 1831-position model. The record is from RNAcentral.
CAAUAGCGUAUAUUUAAGUUGUUGCAGUUAAAAAGCUCGUAGUUGGAUUUCGGUUAAGAGCGACCUGUCCGCCGUUUGGUGUGCACUGGUUGGUUUUAACUUCCUGUAGAGGACGUGCUCUGGGUUUAACGACCUGGACUCGGAGUCUACGUGGUUACUUUGAAAAAAUUAGAGUGUUCAAAGCGGGCUUACGCUUGAAUAUUUCAGCAUGGAAUAACACUAUAGGACUCCUGUCCUAUUUCGUUGGUCUCGGGACGGGAGUAAUGAUUAAGAGGAACAGUUGGGGGCAUUCGUAUUUCAUUGUCAGAGGUGAAAUUCUUGGAUUUAUGAAAGACGAACUUCUGCGAAAGCAUUUGCCAAGGAUGUUUUCAUUNA